GACGAACGCUGGCGGCGUGCUUAACACAUGCAAGUCGAACGGAAAGGCCCUGCUUUUGUGGGGUGCUCGAGUGGCGAACGGGUGAGUAACACGUGAGUAACCUGCCCUUGACUUUGGGAUAACUUCAGGAAACUGGGGCUAAUACCGGAUAGGAGCUCCUGCUGCAUGGUGGGAGUUGGAAAGUUUCGGCGGUUGGGGAUGGACUCGCGGCUUAUCAGCUUGUUGGUGGGGUAGUGGCUUACCAAGGCUUUGACGGGUAGCCGGCCUGGGAGGGUGACCGGCCACAUUGGGACUGAGAUACGGCCCAGACUCCUACGGGAGGCAGCAGUGGGGAAUAUUGCACAAUGGGCGGAAGCCUGAUGCAGCAACGCCGCGUGCGGGAUGACGGCCUUCGGGUUGUAAACCGCUUUCGCCUGUGACGAAGCGUGAGUGACGGUAAUGGGUAAAGAAGCACCGGCUAACUACGUG
RNAcentral lists this ribosomal RNA (468 nucleotides) under uncultured bacterium. RNAcentral's name for it is "partial 16S ribosomal RNA". It matches the Rfam family "Bacterial small subunit ribosomal RNA", at positions 28 to 507 of the family's 1533-position model. The record is from RNAcentral.